This 452-nucleotide ribosomal RNA is filed under the name uncultured bacterium. RNAcentral's name for it is "bacterial SSU rRNA". It matches the Rfam family "Bacterial small subunit ribosomal RNA", at positions 29 to 506 of the family's 1533-position model. The record is from RNAcentral.
ACGAACGCUGGCGGCGUGCCUAACACAUGCAAGUCGAACGGACCCGCAAGGGUCAGUGGCAAACGGGUGCGUAACACGUGAGGAACCUGUCCAACGGCGGGGGAUAGCCGGCCCAACGGCCGGGUAAUACCGCGUACGACCUUCGAGGGGCAUCCCUUGGGGGUGAAAGCAGCAAUGCGCCGAUGGAGGGCCUCGCGGCCUAUCAGCUAGUUGGUGAGGUCACGGCUCACCAAGGCUACGACGGGUAGCUGGUCCGAGAGGAUGACCAGCCACAUUGGGACUGAGACACGGCCCAGACUCCUACGGGAGGCAGCAGUGGGGAAUAUCGCGCAAUGGGCGAAAGCCUGACGCAGCGACGCCGCGUGUGGGAUGAAGGUCUUCGGAUUGUAAACCACUGUCGGGAGGGACGAAGCUCUGACGGUACCUCCAAAGGAAGCACCGGCUAACUCUGU